GACGAACGCUGGCGGCGUGCUUAACACAUGCAAGUCGAACGGAAAGGCCCUGCUUGCAGGGUACUCGAGUGGCGAACGGGUGAGUAACACGUGGGUGAUCUGCCCUGCACUUCGGGAUAAGCCUGGGAAGCUGGGUCUAAUACCGGAUAGGAGCCAUUUUUAGUGUGAUGGUUGGAAAGUUUUUUCGGUGUAGGAUGAGCUCGCGGCCUAUCAGCUUGUUGGUGGGGUAAUGGCCUACCAAGGCGGCGACGGGUAGCCGGCCUGAGAGGGUGGACGGCCACAUUGGGACUGAGAUACGGCCCAGACUCCUACGGGAGGCAGCAGUGGGGAAUAUUGCACAAUGGGCGCAAGCCUGAUGCAGCGACGCCGCGUGGGGGAUGACGGCCUUCGGGCUGUAAACUCCUUUCGCUAGGGACGAAGCUUUUUGUGACGGUACCUAGAUAAGAAGCACCGGCUAACUACGUG
RNAcentral lists this ribosomal RNA (465 nucleotides) under uncultured bacterium. RNAcentral describes it as "partial 16S ribosomal RNA". It matches the Rfam family "Bacterial small subunit ribosomal RNA", at positions 28 to 507 of the family's 1533-position model. The record is from RNAcentral.